Mangifera indica (mango) is the source of this 758-nucleotide long non-coding RNA. RefSeq lists it as uncharacterized. NCBI's taxonomy places the organism in Eukaryota, Viridiplantae, Streptophyta, Magnoliopsida, Sapindales, Anacardiaceae. The record is from RefSeq and is a predicted model, not a curated record. The transcript is spliced from 2 exons.
GUUGUUGAGUCGUCGGUUAACAGUGGGAAACAAAUUGAUGCCGUACAUUUCAUUCAUGCCUUCCAGCUUACUGAAAGCUUUCCCCCUGUUCCCCUCUUGAAGAUAUAUUUAAAGAAUUGAAGGAGAAACUCACAGGGAAAGGGUGUGAGUUCGGGUGGAGAUGCCAGUGCACAGAUUGAUGUAAAUGCACAGGAACGUGCUGCUUUGAAAGCUCUAGUUAGUUGUGGCCAAGAGUACAGGCUUGAACCUGACUAUCCUCUUGAUCCACUUCAGAAAAGUAUUGAACAACUGGAGAGGGUCGAAAUCUGAUAAGAAAAGGGAUGGAGAUUUUGGUAGACGUCAACACUUCAAGAAACAAAGAGCGAACUGAGGAUACCGUGGAUUUCUUUCUCACAGUGGCAAGGCAGCUCCUGGUAGGCUUCUUCCGCCCGUUUUCUGACGUGUCGUGCACUUGUGAGCAAGACACAACAUUUUCUUUGACAGGGCAGCAUGUGGAGGAAUGCCUGAGAGAUAUCCUCUGGCUGGUCCAAACUCUUACGAUUAUCAAGUUCAUAGCCAGCCUGUUUUUGCUCAGCAACCAAAUGAUCAAAGAAUAUGCUUUUAUCCCCAAGAUUUAGUUAUCAAAUGCAAGAUUUGUGUGCAACCUUAGUGAAUGUGCAGAGAAUUUUUUUGUGAGUGAAUCACAUUUUGCCAUACAAGUUUGGCUGUAAAACACUUCUUCACCCCUAAUUGACAUAGAUAACAUUUCUUCACCCAAA